This 252-nucleotide ribosomal RNA is filed under the name uncultured bacterium. RNAcentral describes it as "partial 16S ribosomal RNA". It matches the Rfam family "Bacterial small subunit ribosomal RNA", at positions 524 to 776 of the family's 1533-position model. The record is from RNAcentral.
UACGGAGGAUGCGAGCGUUAUCCGGAUUUAUUGGGUUUAAAGGGUGCGUAGGCGGACUGUCAAGUCAGCGGUAAAAUUGAGAGGCUCAACCUCUUCCCGCCGUUGAAACUGGUGGUCUUGAGUGGAUGAGAAGUACGCGGAAUGCGUGGUGUAGCGGUGAAAUGCAUAGAUAUCACGCAGAACUCCGAUUGCGAAGGCAGCUUACCAAGCUACUUCUGACGUUGAGGCACGAAAGCGUGGGGAGCAAACAGG